AGGAGAGUAGCUCAAUGGUAGAGCUUUGGCCUCCAAAACCAAGCGCUGAAGGUUCAAAUCCUUUCUCUCCUG
Molecule: transfer RNA, 72 nt
Filed under: Cavernulicola chilensis
Lineage: Eukaryota; Rhodophyta; Bangiophyceae; Cavernulicolales; Cavernulicolaceae
Description: tRNA-Trp
Rfam family: tRNA
About the family: Transfer RNA (tRNA) molecules are approximately 80 nucleotides in length. Their secondary structure includes four short double-helical elements and three loops (D, anti-codon, and T loops).
Source: RNAcentral